Molecule: ribosomal RNA, 2893 nt
Filed under: Escherichia coli
Lineage: Bacteria; Pseudomonadati; Pseudomonadota; Gammaproteobacteria; Enterobacterales; Enterobacteriaceae
Description: bacterial LSU rRNA
Rfam family: Bacterial large subunit ribosomal RNA
Source: RNAcentral
ACUAAGCGUACACGGUGGAUGCCCUGGCAGUCAGAGGCGAUGAAGGACGUGCUAAUCUGCGAUAAGCGUCGGUAAGGUGAUAUGAACCGUUAUAACCGGCGAUUUCCGAAUGGGGAAACCCAGUGUGUUUCGACACACUAUCAUUAACUGAAUCCAUAGGUUAAUGAGGCGAACCGGGGGAACUGAAACAUCUAAGUACCCCGAGGAAAAGAAAUCAACCGAGAUUCCCCCAGUAGCGGCGAGCGAACGGGGAGCAGCCCAGAGCCUGAAUCAGUGUGUGUGUUAGUGGAAGCGUCUGGAAAGGCGCGCGAUACAGGGUGACAGCCCCGUACACAAAAAUGCACAUGCUGUGAGCUCGAUGAGUAGGGCGGGACACGUGGUAUCCUGUCUGAAUAUGGGGGGACCAUCCUCCAAGGCUAAAUACUCCUGACUGACCGAUAGUGAACCAGUACCGUGAGGGAAAGGCGAAAAGAACCCCGGCGAGGGGAGUGAAAAAGAACCUGAAACCGUGUACGUACAAGCAGUGGGAGCACGCUUAGGCGUGUGACUGCGUACCUUUUGUAUAAUGGGUCAGCGACUUAUAUUCUGUAGCAAGGUUAACCGAAUAGGGGAGCCGAAGGGAAACCGAGUCUUAACUGGGCGUUAAGUUGCAGGGUAUAGACCCGAAACCCGGUGAUCUAGCCAUGGGCAGGUUGAAGGUUGGGUAACACUAACUGGAGGACCGAACCGACUAAUGUUGAAAAAUUAGCGGAUGACUUGUGGCUGGGGGUGAAAGGCCAAUCAAACCGGGAGAUAGCUGGUUCUCCCCGAAAGCUAUUUAGGUAGCGCCUCGUGAAUUCAUCUCCGGGGGUAGAGCACUGUUUCGGCAAGGGGGUCAUCCCGACUUACCAACCCGAUGCAAACUGCGAAUACCGGAGAAUGUUAUCACGGGAGACACACGGCGGGUGCUAACGUCCGUCGUGAAGAGGGAAACAACCCAGACCGCCAGCUAAGGUCCCAAAGUCAUGGUUAAGUGGGAAACGAUGUGGGAAGGCCCAGACAGCCAGGAUGUUGGCUUAGAAGCAGCCAUCAUUUAAAGAAAGCGUAAUAGCUCACUGGUCGAGUCGGCCUGCGCGGAAGAUGUAACGGGGCUAAACCAUGCACCGAAGCUGCGGCAGCGACGCUGAUGCGUUGUUGGGUAGGGGAGCGUUCUGUAAGCCUGCGAAGGUGUGCUGUGAGGCAUGCUGGAGGUAUCAGAAGUGCGAAUGCUGACAUAAGUAACGAUAAAGCGGGUGAAAAGCCCGCUCGCCGGAAGACCAAGGGUUCCUGUCCAACGUUAAUCGGGGCAGGGUGAGUCGACCCCUAAGGCGAGGCCGAAAGGCGUAGUCGAUGGGAAACAGGUUAAUAUUCCUGUACUUGGUGUUACUGCGAAGGGGGGACGGAGAAGGCUAUGUUGGCCGGGCGACGGUUGUCCCGGUUUAAGCGGGUAGGCUGGUUUUCCAGGCAAAUCCGGAAAAUCAAGGCUGAGGCGUGAUGACGAGGCACUACGGUGCUGAAGCAACAAAUGCCCUGCUUCCAGGAAAAGCCUCUAAGCAUCAGGUAACAUCAAAUCGUACCCCAAACCGACACAGGUGGUCAGGUAGAGAAUACCAAGGCGCUUGAGAGAACUCGGGUGAAGGAACUAGGCAAAAUGGUGCCGUAACUUCGGGAGAAGGCACGCUGAUAUGUAGGUGAAGUCCCUCGCGGAUGGAGCUGAAAUCAGUCGAAGAUACCAGCUGGCUGCAACUGUUUAUUAAAAACACAGCACUGUGCAAACACGAAAGUGGACGUAUACGGUGUGACGCCUGCCCGGUGCCGGAAGGUUAAUUGAUGGGGUUAGCGCAAGCGAAGCUCUUGAUCGAAGCCCCGGUAAACGGCGGCCGUAACUAUAACGGUCCUAAGGUAGCGAAAUUCCUUGUCGGGUAAGUUCCGACCUGCACGAAUGGCGUAAUGAUGGCCAGGCUGUCUCCACCCGAGACUCAGUGAAAUUGAACUCGCUGUGAAGAUGCAGUGUACCCGCGGCAAGACGGAAAGACCCCGUGAACCUUUACUAUAGCUUGACACUGAACAUUGAGCCUUGAUGUGUAGGAUAGGUGGGAGGCUUUGAAGUGUGGACGCCAGUCUGCAUGGAGCCGGCCUUGAAAUACCACCCUUUAAUGUUUGAUGUUCUAACGUGGACCCGUAAUCCGGGUUGCGGACAGUGUCUGGUGGGUAGUUUGACUGGGGCGGUCUCCUCCUAAAGAGUAACGGAGGAGCACGAAGGUUGGCUAAUCCUGGUCGGACAUCAGGAGGUUAGUGCAAUGGCAUAAGCCAGCUUGACUGCGAGCGUGACGGCGCGAGCAGGUGCGAAAGCAGGUCAUAGUGAUCCGGUGGUUCUGAAUGGAAGGGCCAUCGCUCAACGGAUAAAAGGUACUCCGGGGAUAACAGGCUGAUACCGCCCAAGAGUUCAUAUCGACGGCGGUGUUUGGCACCUCGAUGUCGGCUCAUCACAUCCUGGGGCUGAAGUAGGUCCCAAGGGUAUGGCUGUUCGCCAUUUAAAGUGGUACGCGAGCUGGGUUUAGAACGUCGUGAGACAGUUCGGUCCCUAUCUGCCGUGGGCGCUGGAGAACUGAGGGGGGCUGCUCCUAGUACGAGAGGACCGGAGUGGACGCAUCACUGGUGUUCGGGUUGUCAUGCCAAUGGCACUGCCCGGUAGCUAAAUGCGGAAGAGAUAAGUGCUGAAAGCAUCUAAGCACGAAACUUGCCCCGAGAUGAGUUCUCCCUGACUCCUUGAGAGUCCUGAAGGAACGUUGAAGACGACGACGUUGAUAGGCCGGGUGUGUAAGCGCAGCGAUGCGUUGAGCUAACCGGUACUAAUGAACCGUGAGGCUUAACC